This is a non-coding RNA of Acanthosepion pharaonis, 113 nucleotides long. NCBI's taxonomy places the organism in Eukaryota, Metazoa, Mollusca, Cephalopoda, Sepiida, Sepiidae. The record is from the annotation of a GenBank genome assembly.
ACAGCCACAUCACAUUUAAAUACUGAUUUCCAUAUGAUCGCUAAAGUAAAGCAGCAUUGAGCUUGAUCAGUACUGAGAUGAGUGACUACUUGGGAAUACCAGGUGCUGUAAGC